Molecule: ribosomal RNA, 482 nt
Filed under: uncultured bacterium
Lineage: Bacteria
Description: bacterial SSU rRNA
Rfam family: Bacterial small subunit ribosomal RNA
Source: RNAcentral
UUGAACGCUGGCGGUAUGCUUUACACAUGCAAGUCGAACGGCAGCACGGGGGCAACCCUGGUGGCGAGUGGCGAACGGGUGAGUAACAUAUCGGAACAUAUCCGGAAGUGGGGGAUAACGUAGCGAAAGUUACGCUAAUACCGCAUAUGCCCUGAGGGGGAAAGGGGGGGAUCGCAAGACCUCUCGCUUUCGGAGUGGCCGAUAUCGGAUUAGCUAGAUGGUGAGGUAAAGGCUCACCAUGGCGACGAUCCGUAGCUGGUCUGAGAGGACGACCAGCCACACUGGAACUGAGACACGGUCCAGACUCCUACGGGAGGCAGCAGUGGGGAAUUUUGGACAAUGGGGGCAACCCUGAUCCAGCCAUUCCGCGUGAGUGAAGAAGGCCUUCGGGUUGUAAAGCUCUUUCGGCAGGAACGAAACGGUGGAGGCUAAUACCUUUCAUCAAUGACGGUACCUGAAGAAGAAGCACCGGCUAACUACGU